UUCCAGCUCCAAUAGCGUAUAUUAAAGUUGUUGCGGUUAAAAAGCUCGUAGUUGAAUUUGUGUUCCACGCUGUCGGUUCACAGCUCGCUGUGUCAACUGGCACGUCUCGUGGAACGUCCUGUCGGUGAAUGUUGUGUUGCUUCAGUUGCUGCACGCUUACCCAUACAUGCGAAAGCGCUUGUGGUAAAACACUUGUGUGGACCGUGGAUGGGGGUGUGUUUGUUUUCUGUUGUUGGCGCUUCAUUCGACUUUUAAUAGAUUCCUGUCACGGUGCUCUUAACUGAGUGUCGAGGCAGGCCGACACGUUUACUUUGAACAAAUUAAAGUGCUCAAAGCAGGCUAAAAUUUACGCCUGAAUAUUGUGUGCAUGGAAUAAUAGAACAGGACCUCGGUUCUAUUUUGUUGGUUUUCGGAACCCCGAGGUAAUGAUUAAUAGGGACAGAUGG
RNAcentral lists this ribosomal RNA (446 nucleotides) under Clivina collaris. RNAcentral describes it as "bacterial SSU rRNA". It matches the Rfam family "Eukaryotic small subunit ribosomal RNA", at positions 583 to 885 of the family's 1831-position model. Lineage: Eukaryota; Metazoa; Arthropoda; Insecta; Coleoptera; Carabidae. The record is from RNAcentral. RNAcentral also lists the same sequence under 1 other name.